UUAAUUAAACAUUCAUUCUUCCUUUUCAUUGCCAUUUUUCCCUUUUCUUCUUUCUUUUUUUUUUGUCUCUUUUUUUGUUCUUUUCCCUUCUUUUCUUCAUCCAAUUGUUGCUUGGUUUGCAUGUUUUGUCUGCUACUGUUGUCGGGUAACUACGCAUGUCCUUACUGCCAAUUACAUCAAUUGCGUGAAUUUCGUUAAUCGUAGAACUUCUGUUAUAUGGUAGUUCGUUCGUUUAUGUCGGAGUUGUUUCCAACUCGAUUUGUUUAAAUAUUCUUUUAAG
Molecule: long non-coding RNA, 280 nt
Filed under: Gossypium raimondii (Peruvian cotton)
Lineage: Eukaryota; Viridiplantae; Streptophyta; Magnoliopsida; Malvales; Malvaceae
Description: long non-coding RNA (GRAI_LNC001138)
Source: RNAcentral